GUGCAUUCUACGACGUCCGAGAAGCUCCAUACGGCCACCCGCGGGCCCCAGGGCGGCAGCCGUUCCUACACCCCGGGCCCUCUCGGGGCCCGAGUUUUCCAGGCUGCUCUUGGUCCCUCCGCUCCCACUCUCCUCGCUACCCCCGUCCUCCGCCCUGCCCCGUGGCGCCUCAGCUGCCGCCUCCCCUCGCCCACCUCGACGGCCAUGUUCGUGGGUGGGGACAGGCCAGCCCGACCCUCGGACUGCAGGACUCGCGGGCUACUUUAGGAGGAAGAGCAAGCUCCGUAACAGACAGAAGUUUAGAUUGUCAUUCUCAACUGCUAAUCAGGAAGCGGAAGUUAAACUCUUAGCAAAAUGGCAGCACCUGGAAAGACAAAUUGAGCCAAACUACCUGGGUUCAAAUCCUGACUCCACCACACACUACGGUUACCAACGAUCCUGAUCUGCCCAAGGCUGAGGAGUUUCCCAGGAUAUGGGACUUUCACUGCUAAAACCAGGAUAGUCCCACGCAAAGCAUCAUGACUGAUCACCCUACUUGCUGCCAUGAGACUACCACCAUCCUCGAGGAUGAUAGAUCCCAAGGAGAGAGUGCAGUCAACAUCCAGCCCCAUCAGCAUGUGACUUAUCCAGCCCCAAUCCAGUCACCAGAUAAUAGCAAAUGCAUGAGUUAAUUCAGGCGAGACCAUCAGAAUGAUCUAGCUGAACUUAUCUCAAAUUGCUGUCCUCUGUUGGAGUUUUUCUGCACAUAAAAAAUAAAAUUGCCGUCCUACAUAACUGUAAACAAGCAAAAUGGUUGU
Pongo pygmaeus (Bornean orangutan) is the source of this 797-nucleotide long non-coding RNA. RefSeq lists it as uncharacterized. The transcript has 3 exons. The record is from RefSeq and is a predicted model, not a curated record. Lineage: Eukaryota; Metazoa; Chordata; Mammalia; Primates; Hominidae.